Molecule: unclassified non-coding RNA, 219 nt
Filed under: uncultured Actinomycetes bacterium
Lineage: Bacteria; Bacillati; Actinomycetota; Actinomycetes
Description: uncultured actinobacterium contains 16S-23S intergenic spacer region
Rfam family: Bacterial small subunit ribosomal RNA
Source: RNAcentral
UAGGCUUGACAUGCUAGUUAAAGCGGGUGAAAGCUCGUGUCCGCAAGGGGCUAGCACAGGUGCUGCAUGGCUGUCGUCAGCUCGUGCCGUGAGGUGUUGGCUUAAGUGCCGCAACGAGCGCAACCCCUGCUUUUAGUUGCCAGCGGGUAAUGCCGGGGACUCUAAAAGGACUGCCGGGGACAACUCGGAGGAAGGUGGGGAUGACGUCGUAUCUCACUG